UACGUAGGGCGCAAGCGUUAUCCGGAAUUAUUGGGCGUAAAGAGCUCGUAGGCGGUUUGUCGCGUCUGCCGUGAAAGUCCGGGGCUCAACUCCGGAUCUGCGGUGGGUACGGGCAGACUAGAGUGAUGUAGGGGAGACUGGAAUUCCUGGUGUAGCGGUGAAAUGCGCAGAUAUCAGGAGGAACACCAAUGGCGAAGGCAGCACUCUGGGACGUGACUGACGCUGAGACGCGAAAGCGUGGGGAGCGAACAGG
This 253-nucleotide ribosomal RNA is filed under the name uncultured bacterium. RNAcentral describes it as "partial 16S ribosomal RNA". It matches the Rfam family "Bacterial small subunit ribosomal RNA", at positions 524 to 776 of the family's 1533-position model. The record is from RNAcentral.